Molecule: small nuclear RNA, 188 nt
Gene: U2
Rfam family: U2 spliceosomal RNA
About the family: U2 is a small nuclear RNA (snRNA) component of the spliceosome (involved in pre-mRNA splicing). Complementary binding between U2 snRNA (in an area lying towards the 5' end but 3' to hairpin I) and the branchpoint sequence (BPS) of the intron results the bulging out of an unpaired adenosine, on the BPS, which initiates a nucleophilic attack at the intronic 5' splice site, thus starting the first of two transesterification reactions that mediate splicing.
Source: Ensembl
AAAAAUUAUUAGCCUUUUGGCUAAGAUCAAGCGUAGUAUCUGUCCUUAUCAGUUUAAUAUCUGAUAGUUCUCAAUUUGGAGCACUAUAUUAAAUGAAUUUCAUGAGCAGAGAGUUGGGAAAGGAGCCUGCUCCAUCCACUCCAAGCAUAGAUCUGGUUUUGCAGCACCUCCAGGAAUGUGCCCUCCCC